This 66-nucleotide transfer RNA is filed under the name Agriocnemis femina. RNAcentral's name for it is "tRNA-Ile". Lineage: Eukaryota; Metazoa; Arthropoda; Insecta; Odonata; Coenagrionidae. The record is from RNAcentral.
AAUAAAGAGCCUGAGCUAAAGGGUCAUUUUGAUAGAAUGAAUCAUGCAAUAUAAUUGCCUUUAUUA